UGUGUGGUCAAUUGAGCCUGCAUGACGCCUUUUCCCCUAAUUUCAAGUCUUUUUGGUUGAAGAAGGUUCUCCAAGAGUUACCUGAAGAGAAAAGUGGACACCAAACCAGUUACAAAGCCUUUGACCUACAACUUGUCCUGACAAGUGCCCUGGACUGAAUAAAGAACUGCCCAGAGACCAGUCAGUGUGUGUAAACACAUACACUGUGUCUAAACACAUAUAGUCUGUGCAGACAGUUAUUCAGCUGUAAAGAAGAAUAAAUUUUGUCUGUUGGAAAAAUGAAUAGAACUGGAUGGAGAUCAUCACAUUACCUGAAACAAGCCAUCAUUAGACAGGUUUUACUCAGAAUGCUGCUGACCUUUGAAAUUCAAGAAACUCUGAGCUCGAAGGAAGAAGGAUACAGUAUUUAUGACUUGAUGGAGCGCUACACAAUGAAAACGCUGUGGAGACCACAUUUGUGAAGACACUCCAAGAAGAUCUUUUUUAAAAAAUAAAGA
This 497-nucleotide small RNA is filed under the name Rattus norvegicus (Norway rat). RNAcentral describes it as "uncharacterized LOC108352216". Lineage: Eukaryota; Metazoa; Chordata; Mammalia; Rodentia; Muridae. The record is from RNAcentral.